AGCAAGCGGCAUAAAUCAAGUCCAUGGGGCAUGGAGGCUGCUGUGGCGGCUGCAGCUCAGCUUGCCCGGGGCGGGAACUCAGCCUUCUUUCGCCUCCCCAGCGCCCAUACCCUGCCUUCUCCUUAAUUCUUGCCUGGAUAAUAGAGCCCUAACGACAACAGUCAUAGUAAUAGGGUCAGAACGAUAGGGUUGGUUUGUUUUGAUCUACAGAAGAAGGAAAAAAGCUGCCUAAACAUCUCAGAAAACUGCAUCGCAAAAUGGAAGAGAGCGGGUCCCACUACUGUUUCAAAAGAGAACAAUGGAAACCAAAUGCAGAGAAUGGUACCACCAUAAGGUGAAUGGAGCUGGGUCCUUGGAAAUACUGUUUGGAGGGAAGCCUCACAAACCCAGCUGGACUGACAAGGUGAUAUACUCCCAAGGGACAUGUGGCUUCAUCUUGAGAAGUUCGGAAACAGAAUCUGAGGACAGACAACUUGCCAGGUCACAUAACAAGUAAAUGAAAGAAGUUGAGUUGUUAUUAGAGAAACAAGCAUGAUAUGCAAGACUGGGACAUUGUGCUGUACACCAGAGUCUGACACAUUGUAAUUGACUAUGCUUCAAUAAAUAAAAUAAAGAA
Long non-coding RNA from Camelus dromedarius (Arabian camel), 616 nucleotides. RefSeq lists it as uncharacterized. The record is from RefSeq and is a predicted model, not a curated record. Lineage: Eukaryota; Metazoa; Chordata; Mammalia; Artiodactyla; Camelidae. The transcript is spliced from 4 exons.